This 333-nucleotide unclassified non-coding RNA is filed under the name Capnodiales sp. Its description in RNAcentral is "partial contains 5.8S ribosomal RNA, internal transcribed spacer 2, and large subunit ribosomal RNA". The record is from RNAcentral. Lineage: Eukaryota; Fungi; Ascomycota; Dothideomycetes; Capnodiales.
CGCACAUUGCGCCCUCUGGCAUUCCGGGGGGCAUGCCCGUUCGAGCGUCAUUAAAUCCAAUCAAGCCUGGCUUGGUAUUGGGCGACGGGAAGACCCCGCGCCCCAAUUUCACCGGCUGGCCGUCGCCUGUUUUAGUGUUGCGGAUGGGAAACUUCGCUAAAAUCGAGGAGCGGUCACGCUGUUAUGAUUUCACCAACGGGCUCGCUGCCUGCCUUGGCGUUGUUAAAAUUUCGUCAAGAGCAGAGCGGGUCACGCCGUGAGAUCGCAACAAAUUUCCAUCGAAAUUUGAUCAAGGUUGACCUCGGAUCGGGUAGGAAUACCCGCUGAACUUAA